Molecule: ribosomal RNA, 156 nt
Organism: Macadamia integrifolia
Lineage: Eukaryota; Viridiplantae; Streptophyta; Magnoliopsida; Proteales; Proteaceae
Product: 5.8S ribosomal RNA
Exons: 1
Source: RefSeq, a predicted model, not a curated record
GACUCCCGGCAACAGAUAUCUCGGCUUUUGCAUUGAUGAAGAAUGUAGCGAAAUGUGAUACUUGGUGUGAAUUGCAGAAUCCCAUGAACCAUUGAGUCUUUUAACGUAAUUUACGCCCUAGGCCAUCGGGCUGAGGGGAUGCCUGCUUGGGUGUCA